This is a non-coding RNA of Cajanus cajan (pigeon pea), 1282 nucleotides long. The record is from RefSeq and is a predicted model, not a curated record. NCBI's taxonomy places the organism in Eukaryota, Viridiplantae, Streptophyta, Magnoliopsida, Fabales, Fabaceae.
AUUUCUUUGAAUUCUGUCUACAGAUCCACGAGCAAGAGAGGUAUUGUAGGUGACUUUUGUUCUUAUAUCAGAUGUUAUCCUUGUUGACAAAUCAAUAAUUCUAGCUUGUCAAUUUGGGAUAACUUGACUGUUUAAGUAAAUGUAAAUCCCUUGAUAAUAACUUCUUCUUUUUUCGUAAAAAAUCAAUUCUUGAAAAAAGAAAUUGGAAAGACUUCUCUCUCUACUAUAGGAUUUUGCUUGAUUAUAUUUUGGUAAGCGUACAUUAGAGUGCAGGCUAGUCGGUUUUUAAGGGACCCAUUGCUUGACUCCUUUAAUGGUUGAUUACCUUGCCAUUUUAAAAAAGAAAUUUGGCUGACUUUUUUUAAAAUCCUUGUUAUCUUAAAAGGCCAUUUAGGCUGGUUGGGUUGGUUUAUUUAAUUAAAUAAUUCAUUAUAUAAUAUGUAUUACCACUACUAAUGCUACUCGUUAGACUAUUUUAAUAUGGCUUUUGGAUUGAUUAAAGGUGGCAUUGCAAAAGUAGGCCUUUAAAUUAAAGCGUUCAGGCAUAACUAUCCUUUCUAAAAGACCAUGUUUGAUAAACAUGUCAAGUGCACCAUGUGAAAAUACUAUAGAGGUUAUUGUUGCUACGAUAGCUUUUGUAAUGGGUAUUGACAAAUAAAACAUGUCAGAAGAAUCAUCGACUAUGGUUGGCCACAAGUUUGUUUUUAAAAGUUUGAAAGCCUACUGCCAAGAAGCUGGACGGGCCGGUCAAGAUGGGAAAUUUGCAGAUUGCAAUAUGUAAUGAAUACUUCAUGCUGUCGAGCAAAGACGUUGAAUACUUUGGAGAGGAUUUCAGUCAUUGGAGAUGUCUCUACUGUCACUUUUGCAUUAAUGGUCCACCACAAAGACUGUAUCUAAAAGAAGGUAGUUGAUCUAAUGAGCAGGUAGAAGUGAAAGCUUUAGACAGCAAGUUUGUUGCAAACAAGGUGCUUUUUUAUGUUUAUAUAGUGCCCCUUUUUUCUUUUUUAUUUGCAUUUAUUAUGCUCAUUUUAAUCUCUAACUAGUCUAGUGGACAGGUGUUUUAUCAUAAAAUAGUUGAUACCUUUAAAAUUUGUACAAAUGUAUCCCAAAGCCUUGGUGGUCCCUGACCUGCAUUAUGGGAGGUGGAACACCCUUGAUGUUUGUGGUCGAGCAAUGUUAGAGAGUUUCUAUUGAGGUCUUUGAAGAGAACUGUGAGUGAGAAGAUAAAAUCCAUUACACCAUUGCAGAUAAGGAUGAUAUCUACAAGUAAUCUUUUCUUUAA